Molecule: unclassified non-coding RNA, 244 nt
Filed under: plant metagenome
Description: partial contains small subunit ribosomal RNA, internal transcribed spacer 1, and 5.8S ribosomal RNA
Source: RNAcentral
UCUCCGUUGGUGAACCAGCGGAGGGAUCAUUACCAGAGUUUUACAACUCCCAACCCUUCUGUGAACCUACCUAUCGUGUCUUCGGCGGACUCGCCCCAGCGUCCGGACGGCCCCGGGCCGUCCCGCGACCUGGACCCCCGCCGCCGCCGGAGACCACACAAUCCUGUAUCCAUCAGUCUCUCUGAAUCCGCUGCAAGGCAAAACAAACGAAUAAAAACUUUCAACAAUGGAUCUCUUGGUUCUG